This is a long non-coding RNA of Ornithodoros turicata, 1062 nucleotides long. RefSeq lists it as uncharacterized. The transcript is spliced from 3 exons. NCBI's taxonomy places the organism in Eukaryota, Metazoa, Arthropoda, Arachnida, Ixodida, Argasidae. The record is from RefSeq and is a predicted model, not a curated record.
ACUCCGACUGGGUGCCACCUUCGAAAGCAGCGAUUUGAUCUGUUCAUCUGGCUCAUACGAAUGUUACGGAAGCAAUGCGCAACUUGUUUCACAAGAAGCCGAAGAUGUCUCGUCCGGGAUGCUGUGCCAACCUUAUCUGCAGCAGGAGAUUGCAGGGGCAGGACUAGGCAGCAGAUAAAGGCAUUCUGGCACCACCGAAAAGCUUGCACUCCACGUCUCAACUAUCACCGUCUGGGUUUCAAGCUGAAGGCUGUCACCAGUGCCAACCAGACGCCCCUUCAAAGUUCAUCUGUUUUUGUUGACGGAACAGUGACACCUGGUAAACCUGUCACGCAGAUGCCCUACCCCUUGGUAUGCAUAGUUCAAGAUUGUACUGAAACAAUCCACCUGGAGCAUUAUUCUUCAAUUGGCAGUGGCAUUACUAUCACAACACACCACCUACUGCAUGUCUAUGGUGCGUGUACAAUGCAUCAAACCUAUUCUCAGGUACAGGCCAGGUGGUACGCAAUUACAACAUGAAACAACUGACACAGAGACCGUAAAGUCAUGCCUUUUCCUCCGCGCCUCGGGUUUCAUGUUAUUAUCCUCACAUGCAGCUCAAUUCGCCUGUGCUGUGCAGCAUGAGCAAAAGCAUAUAUUGUUUGUGGUCACAUGACACGGAACAUAAAUACAGUGAAACCUUCCUAUGUUGGACACCCGCGGUGCAGCCGAAGCGUCUCCUACUUAUAGAGGUGUCCGAGUUACAGACUAUGACGGCAACAAAAAAUGGAAGAGAUCACAGCUGUGAGAAAUGCCUCCCUUCUUCAAUUUAAGGUCCUUAAUGGUACCUGGUGGUGGUGCCUGGUGCACGCCUGGUAGUGGUACCCCUACCCACUCUUCACUGAUAAUUAUUACUGAUUUUAGUAUAUUCAAUUCUGUUCAGAUUCUACUCAAUGGCAUUACCUCUGGAGCUUUUCGAGCAGCAAGGACUUGUCUCUGAAGCGUCAGCCCACUUCUCAUAGCUUUGGUGCAGUGCUCGUUCAAAGGCUCUAGACAAACUGAAGACAAGUGCUCACAUAAAGA